RNAcentral lists this ribosomal RNA (508 nucleotides) under uncultured bacterium. Its description in RNAcentral is "bacterial SSU rRNA". It matches the Rfam family "Bacterial small subunit ribosomal RNA", at positions 21 to 518 of the family's 1533-position model. The record is from RNAcentral.
GGUUCAGGAUGAACGCUAGCUACAGGCUUAACACAUGCAAGUCAGGGGCAGCAUUGAGAUAGCUUGCUAUUUCAGAUGGCGACCGGCGCACGGGUGAGUAACGCGUAUCCAACUUCCCCUUAGUAGAGGAUAGCCCGGCGAAAGUCGGAUUAAUACUCUAUGUUGUAUUUUUGAGGACAUCUGACGAAUACCAAAGAUUCAUCGCUAAGGGAUGGGGAUGCGUCUGAUUAGGUUGUUGGCGGGGUAACGGCCCACCAAGCCGACGAUCAGUAGGGGUUCUGAGAGGAAGGUCCCCCACAUUGGUACUGAGACACGGACCAAACUCCUACGGGAGGCAGCAGUGAGGAAUAUUGGUCAAUGGGCGCGAGCCUGAACCAGCCAAGUAAGCGUGCAGGAAGACUGCCCUAUGGGUUGUAAACUGCUUUUAUAGGGGAAUAAAGUGAGGGACGUGUCCCUUUUUGUAUGUACCCUAUGAAUAAGGACCGGCUAAUUCCGUGCCAGCCGCCGC